AGCAGCCGCGGUAAUUCCAGCUCCAAUAGCGUAUAUUAAAGUUGUUGUGGUUAAAAAGCUCGUAGUUGAACCUUGGGCCUGGCUGGCCGGUCCGCCUCACCGCGUGUACUGGUCCGGCCGGGCCUUUCCCUCUGUGGAACCCCAUGCCCUUCACUGGGUGUGGCGGGGAAACAGGACUUUUACUUUGAAAAAUUAGAGUGCUCCAGGCAGGCCUAUGCUCGAAUACAUUAGCAUGGAAUAAUAGAAUAGGACGUGUGGUUCUAUUUUGUUGGUUUCUAGGACCGCCGUAAUGAUUAAUAGGGACAGUCGGGGGCAUCAGUAUUCAAUUGUCAGAGGUGAAAUUCUUGGAUUUAUUGAAGACUAACUACUGCGAAAGCAUUUGCCAAGGAUGUUUUCAUUAAUCAGGAACGAAAGUUAGGGGAUCGAAGACGAUCAGAUACCGUCGUAGUCUUAACCAUAAACUAUGCCGACUAGG
Molecule: ribosomal RNA, 475 nt
Filed under: uncultured Glomeromycotina
Lineage: Eukaryota; Fungi; Glomeromycota
Description: SSU rRNA
Rfam family: Eukaryotic small subunit ribosomal RNA
Source: RNAcentral